Molecule: ribosomal RNA, 655 nt
Filed under: Psychrobacillus insolitus
Lineage: Bacteria; Bacillati; Bacillota; Bacilli; Caryophanales; Bacillaceae
Description: bacterial SSU rRNA
Rfam family: Bacterial small subunit ribosomal RNA
Source: RNAcentral
GCUUGCUUCUUCUGAUUUAGCGGCGGACGGGUGAGUAACACGUGGGCAACCUGCCCUGUAGAUUGGGAUAACUCCGGGAAACCGGGGCUAAUACCGAAUAAUCCAUUUCCUCACAUGUGGGAAUGUUAAAAGACGGUUUCGGCUGUCACUACAGGAUGGGCCCGCGGCGCAUUAGCUAGUUGGUGGGGUAAUGGCUCACCAAGGCGACGAUGCGUAGCCGACCUGAGAGGGUGAUCGGCCACACUGGGACUGAGACACGGCCCAGACUCCUACGGGAGGCAGCAGUAGGGAAUCUUCCACAAUGGACGAAAGUCUGAUGGAGCAACGCCGCGUGAGUGAAGAAGGUUUUCGGAUCGUAAAACUCUGUUGUGAGGGAAGAACAAGUACGAGAGUAACUGCUCGUACCUUGACGGUACCUCAUUAGAAAGCCACGGCUAACUACGUGCCAGCAGCCGCGGUAAUACGUAGGUGGCAAGCGUUGUCCGGAAUUAUUGGGCGUAAAGCGCGCGCAGGCGGUCCUUUAAGUCUGAUGUGAAAGCCCACGGCUCAACCGUGGAAGGUCAUUGGAAACUGGGGGACUUGAGUGCAGAAGAGGAAAGUGGAAUUCCAAGUGUAGCGGUGAAAUGCGUAGAGAUUUGGAGGAACACCAGUGGCG